GCGCGGGUGCCGGUCACAUCGCGUUUGAGGUUGUCGCCCACGUAGGCGCAGCGCGCCGGUUCGACCCCGGCCCUGCGCG
This 79-nucleotide transfer RNA is filed under the name Candidatus Atribacteria bacterium. RNAcentral's name for it is "tRNA-OTHER". Lineage: Bacteria; Pseudomonadati; Atribacterota; Atribacteria. The record is from RNAcentral. RNAcentral also lists the same sequence under 1 other name.